This 460-nucleotide ribosomal RNA is filed under the name uncultured bacterium. RNAcentral describes it as "partial 16S ribosomal RNA". It matches the Rfam family "Bacterial small subunit ribosomal RNA", at positions 338 to 795 of the family's 1533-position model. The record is from RNAcentral.
CCUACGGGUGGCAGCAGUGAGGAAUAUUGGUCAAUGGCGGGAACGCUGAACCAGCCAAGCCGCGUGAAGGACGACGGUGCCAAGCAUUGUAAACUGCUUUUAUCCAGGGAUAAACUCAGUCUCGAGAGGCUUAUCGAAGGUACUUCAUGAAUAAGCAUCGGCUAAAUCCGUGCCAGCAGCCGCGGUAAUACGGAAGGUGCGAGCGUUAUCCGGAUUUAUUGGGUUUAAAGGGUGCGUAGGCGGACCUUUAAGGGAGCUGUGAAAUGCCGGGGCUCAACCGCGGCGGGGCAGAGGAAACUGGGGGGCUUGAGAUGGCGAGAGGUAGGCGGAAUGCGUGGUGUAGCGGUGAAAUGCUUAGAUAUUGCGAAGAACUCCGAUUGCGAAGGCAGCAUACCGUAGGGGUUCUGACGCUGAGGCACGAAGGCGUGGGUAUCGAACAGGAUUAGAUACCCUUGUAGUC